Erinaceus europaeus (western European hedgehog) is the source of this 424-nucleotide long non-coding RNA. RefSeq lists it as uncharacterized. The record is from RefSeq and is a predicted model, not a curated record. The transcript is spliced from 3 exons. NCBI's taxonomy places the organism in Eukaryota, Metazoa, Chordata, Mammalia, Eulipotyphla, Erinaceidae.
GAGCAGUAGUGAGUGGACACCAACACUUGGCCUGUGAAACUCCUGGAGCUUCAAGUGAAUUGCUUGGGAGGGGCUGGGGGGCCCUCUGUGAGCAACUGGUGAGAUGACCCUGAGCGGUGAUGGAAACACAGGUGAGCCGGAAGGCACGGUAGGUGCUGAGUGAGCUUGGACAAAGCCCCCAUGUGAUGAGACUCCCAAGCCGCCAGGUUCUGGAUGCCAGCAUGAUGCCGACCAGACUUCCCUGGACUGAAGACCCCACCAAUGUGUCCUGGAGCUGGACUUCCCCAGAGACCCACCCUACUAGGGAAAGAGAGAGGCAGAAUGGGAGUAUGGAUUGACCAGUCAACGUCCAUGUUCAGCGGGGAAGCAAUUACAGAAGCCAGACCUUCCACCUUCUGCAACCCACAACAACCCUGGGUCCAUG